RNAcentral lists this ribosomal RNA (591 nucleotides) under uncultured bacterium. Its description in RNAcentral is "bacterial SSU rRNA". It matches the Rfam family "Bacterial small subunit ribosomal RNA", at positions 338 to 949 of the family's 1533-position model. The record is from RNAcentral.
CCUACGGGAGGCAGCAGUGGGGAAUAUUGGACAAUGGGGGCAACCCUGAUCCAGCCAUGCCGCGUGAGUGAUGAAGGCCUUCGGGUUGUAAAGCUCUUUUGGCGGGGACGAUGAUGACGGUACCCGCAGAAUAAGCCCCGGCUAACUUCGUGCCAGCAGCCGCGGUAAGACGAAGGGGGCUAGCGUUGUUCGGAAUUACUGGGCGUAAAGCGCGUGUAGGCGGUUUGCCAAGUCGGGUGUGAAAGCCUUGGGCUUAACCCAAGAAAUGCACUCGGUACUGGCAGACUAGAGGACCGGAGAGGAUAGUGGAAUUCCCAGUGUAGUGGUGAAAUACGUAGAGAUUGGGAAGAACACCAGUGGCGAAGGCGGCUAUCUGGACGGUUUCUGACGCUAAGACGCGAAAGCGUGGGGAGCAAACAGGAUUAGAUACCCUGGUAGUCCACGCCGUAAACGAUGGGUGCUAGACGUUGGCGAGCUUGCUCGUCAGUGUCGCAGCUAACGCGUUAAGCACCCCGCCUGGGGAGUACGGCCGCAAGGUUGAAACCCCAAAGGAAUUGACGGCUGAGACNGCGACGACGACACGAGGGAGAG